RNAcentral lists this ribosomal RNA (171 nucleotides) under Dillenia tetrapetala. RNAcentral describes it as "5.8S ribosomal RNA". It matches the Rfam family "5.8S ribosomal RNA". Rfam says of the family: 5.8S ribosomal RNA (5.8S rRNA) is a component of the large subunit of the eukaryotic ribosome. It is transcribed by RNA polymerase I as part of the 45S precursor that also contains 18S and 28S rRNA. Lineage: Eukaryota; Viridiplantae; Streptophyta; Magnoliopsida; Dilleniales; Dilleniaceae. The record is from RNAcentral.
AAACGACUCUCGGCAACGGAUAUCUCGGCUCUCGCAUCGAUGAAGAACGUAGCGAAAUGCGAUACUUGGUGUGAAUUGCAGGAUCCCGUGAAUCAUCGAGUCUUUGAACGCAAGUUGCGCCCGAAGCCAUUAGGCCGAGGGCACGCCUGCCUGGGCGUCACGCAUCGCGUC